GGGCGGUUAGCUCAGCCGGUCAGAGCGCGUGCCUUACAAGCACGAGGCCGCAGGUUCGAGCCCUGCACCGCCCACCA
Molecule: transfer RNA, 77 nt
Filed under: Acidobacteriota bacterium
Lineage: Bacteria; Pseudomonadati; Acidobacteriota
Also listed under: 2 other names
Description: tRNA-Val
Rfam family: tRNA
About the family: Transfer RNA (tRNA) molecules are approximately 80 nucleotides in length. Their secondary structure includes four short double-helical elements and three loops (D, anti-codon, and T loops).
Source: RNAcentral